RNAcentral lists this ribosomal RNA (349 nucleotides) under Phormia regina (black blowfly). Its description in RNAcentral is "partial 16S ribosomal RNA". The record is from RNAcentral. Lineage: Eukaryota; Metazoa; Arthropoda; Insecta; Diptera; Calliphoridae.
UUUAAAUGGCCGCAGUAUACUAACUGUGCAAAGGUAGCAUAAUCAUUAGUCUUUUAAUUGAAGGCUGGUAUGAAUGGUUGGACGAGAUAUUAACUGUUUCAUAAAAAUUUAUAAUAGAAUUUUAUUUUUUAGUCAAAAAGCUAAAAUAUAUUUAAAAGACGAGAAGACCCUAUAAAUCUUUAUAUUUAAAUUAUUAUAAUUUUAUAGAUUUAUUUUGUUAUAAUAGUUGAUAAUAUUUUAUUGGGGUGAUAUUAAAAUUUAAUAAACUUUUAAUUGUUUAAAUCAUUAAUUUAUGAAUAAUUGAUCCGUUAUUAGCGAUUAAAAAAAUAAGUUACUUUAGGGAUAACAG